This 548-nucleotide ribosomal RNA is filed under the name uncultured fungus. Its description in RNAcentral is "eukaryotic LSU rRNA". The stretch from base 186 to 340 matches the Rfam family "5.8S ribosomal RNA". The record is from RNAcentral. Lineage: Eukaryota; Fungi.
AAGUCGUAACAAGGUCUCCGUUGGUGAACCAGCGGAGGGAUCAUUACUGAGUACUACACUCUCUACCCUUUGUGAACUAUUAUACCUGUUGCUUCGGCGGCGCCCGCAAGGGUGCCCGCCGGUCUCAUCAGAAUCUCUGUUUUCGAACCCGACGAUACUUCUGAGUGUUCUUAGCGAACUGUCAAAACUUUUAACAACGGAUCUCUUGGCUCCAGCAUCGAUGAAGAACGCAGCGAAACGCGAUAUGUAAUGUGAAUUGCAGAAUUCAGUGAAUCAUCGAAUCUUUGAACGCACAUGGCGCCUUCCAGUAUCCUGGGGAGGCAUGCCUGUCCGAGCGUCGUUUCAACCCCUCGAGCCCCUGUGGCCCGGCGUUGGGAUCUGCACGGCAGGCCCUAAAACCAGUGGCGGACCCGAAGGCCCUCUCCUUUGCGCAGUAGCAUUCGCCUCGCAUCGGAGUCCUCGGCGUCCUGCCUCUAAACCCCCCACAAGCCCGCUUCGGCGGCACCAAGGUUGACCUCGGAUCAGGUAGGAAUACCCGCUGAACUUAA